GAAAACUCAAUUAAGUCCACGAAAAAAUAAAACUUGGUCGCUAAAUGUGAAAAUUUCAGUGGGAUAUGAAAUGUUUCUCUCUCUCUAGCUAGAAGGUACUAACUCUCUCUCUUCAUUGCCAAAAGACUCCUACUCUCUUUCUUACCCUCUCUUGAAGUAAAAACCCUAAAUCUCAUUGCCUAUAUUCCUAAAUCUCUCAUUCAUCGUCACUCAAAGGUUGAAGUUAUUUCUCGUUGCUCUUCUAAGAGUAAGGUAUAUGAGAAAAUCCCUAAUCUUCAAUCAGAGAGUGUUUGGUUUGUGUUAGCGAUCAAACAGAACAAAGAUGGCAUCGUCCUUCUCCAAAUGGAUCGUCGAUCCGUAGAAGAACCCCCUCGCCGCCAUGCAUAUGAAAACCCUCUCCUCUCACCUCCAUAAUUACGGGCUUAGAUAUGAUGAUUUAUAUGAUCCAAUGUAUGAUUUGGACGUGAAGGAGGCUCUUAAUCGCCUUCCGAGGGAGAUUGUUGAUGCCAAAAACCAGUACCUUCUGUGUGCCAUGGACCUCUUCAUGAAGCACCCGUACCUCCCAGAGGAUCUCCAGAAAACUGCAAGGAUCUGAACUGAAGCCAAGUUUUGAUCUCUAUCACUUUAAAUGAUUUGAGAGGGAUUACUACAAGCAACUAGCUUAUUUGAAGAUUGAAAUUCUUAGGCGUCUUUGUGAUGAUGUGAUUGAAGCAGAGUCUAUACAAUCAACGCUUAACAAAAGAAUUAUGGCAGCAGAGAACACGGAUUUUUAUCAGAAUUUGAAGUCUUGCAGUUUCAAGUAUAGGAGGGUUUCCAUGAAUGUUGUUGCAGGUUCACGUAAAGGUGAGGGGCAGAGUUGUUGGCAACAGAUCUAUACGGUCGGCUGUACUAUGGUUGUUGUGAUUACCUAUUGCUAUUCAUUGACUCCAUUGACUGCACUGAUGGAUGUCGUCCAAGUAAAAUGUAUUUCUUGAGGACGCUCAUUGAGAAAACCUUAAAAGAUCGAGAAGAUUUCCUCGUCGAACCCAAUUUUGUCUCUAAUCUUAUCCCGCCUGACGAGUAUGUUCAUCAAAGUUGCUAUUCUUUCUCAUUUAUUGGCACUACAAUACAUGAGACAUAUCAACCUCGGUGGGACUAUUUAGGAAGGUGGUUUUGUCUUCCUAUUCAAUUGGAAGGUGCUAAGAUACUUUAGGAAGGAUGGGCAUAACUGGAGGAGGAAAGAUGGGAAGACAGUUAAAGAAGCUCAAGAGAAGCUGGAGAUAGGAAAGAGAAGUUCAGAAUUUGUUAUGUGUUUGCACGUUGUAGCAGCGUUAAAUUCUCGAAUAAGAAAGUACAAUGAAGCAAUUCCUCACUUGGAGAGAUCAAUUGAAAUUCCUGACUUGGAUAUGGGACAAAAUCUUUCACUCGCAAAAUUUUCAUGGUUCAUGCACUUAUGUGAUACAUAUCAAUGCUCAGGAAGUUAGAGAAUUCGAUAUUGUGCUAUAUUGACGGCCUGAAAAUUCAAAGAAAAGUUCUCGAAGAGAAACACACGAGAUUUGGCAACACAUGCAGAUUAAACUUGAUACAGAAAAUUCUUUCCAUUCGUGACAAUGGUGGUGGUAUGACUAAGGAGGAUCUUAGAAAGAAUUUGGGAACCAUAGCUAAAUUUGGAAGCUUAAGAGAUUUCUAACAUAACAUUCAACAAAAAUUUGUUUCCUUUGUAGAUUUCUAAAGUUCAAGAGAAAUUUGUUUUCUUUUUAGAUAUCUAAUAUUCAAGAGAAAUUCAUUUCCUUUAUAAAUUUCCAACAUUCAAGAGAAAUUUGUUUCAUGUAUGAAAUAAUACUGAGUGUCUAUGAGUGUAUAUGAGUGUAUACAUAAUAGGCAAUAUAUAUAGUUAAUUAUUUAAUCAUCUUUGUUAUCCUAAAGUUAUAUCGAUAAUAGAAACAGUGAUACAAGAUUUGGCUCUGGUUUAAAUCGUGAUCUGGAUAGCCAGCUGAAACUAUGUCCUCAAGUUUUCUGGUAUUGAUUAUGUCGCAACGUGCAUGAAGAUAAGGUAAUGAAAGAAAGCAAUGAGCAGCAAAGGAAUCAUGUUGGUAGAGCAGAGUGUAGAAAUUUAUGUGAACUAUUAUAGCUAGGAAUGUUGAUUUUGAUUGCGUAAAUAGUGUCAUAACGUUUAUGUCAUGGAUACUUGGCAAUUUGAGAUGUAAAUACAUUAUUAGUUGUAAUAUAUAGAGAAGUUAUCUUUA
This is a long non-coding RNA of Capsicum annuum, 2225 nucleotides long. RefSeq lists it as uncharacterized. The record is from RefSeq and is a predicted model, not a curated record. The transcript has 8 exons. Lineage: Eukaryota; Viridiplantae; Streptophyta; Magnoliopsida; Solanales; Solanaceae.